UACGGGGGGGGCAAGCGUUGUUCGGAAUUACUGGGCGUAAAGGGCGCGUAGGUGGCCUGCUAAGUCGGAUGUGAAAUCCCUCGGCUCAACCGAGGAACUGCAUCCGAUACUGGCGGGCUUGAAUCCGGGAGAGGGAUGUGGAAUUCCUGGUGUAGCGGUGAAAUGCGCAGAUAUCAGGAGGAACACCGGUGGCGAAGGCGGGACUCUGGGCCGAUACUGACGCUGAGGAGCGAAAGCGUGGGGAGCAAACAGG
RNAcentral lists this ribosomal RNA (253 nucleotides) under uncultured bacterium. Its description in RNAcentral is "partial 16S ribosomal RNA". It matches the Rfam family "Bacterial small subunit ribosomal RNA", at positions 524 to 776 of the family's 1533-position model. The record is from RNAcentral.